Oryza glumipatula is the source of this 178-nucleotide non-coding RNA. Lineage: Eukaryota; Viridiplantae; Streptophyta; Magnoliopsida; Poales; Poaceae. The record is from Rfam.
UUCAAGCAUAAUCAUAAUUUUUCGUAUUUAACUUUGAUUGUCCGUCUAAUUUUAAUUUUUUAUGAUUAAUAUUUAUGUUGUUAUUAGAUGACAAAACAUGAAUAAUAUUUUACGUGUGGAAAAAAUAAAUAAGACGGACGAUUAAAAUUUGACAUGGAAAUUCAUGACUACGUUUAAA